Long non-coding RNA from Siniperca chuatsi (mandarin fish), 356 nucleotides. RefSeq lists it as uncharacterized. NCBI's taxonomy places the organism in Eukaryota, Metazoa, Chordata, Actinopteri, Centrarchiformes, Sinipercidae. The transcript is spliced from 3 exons. The record is from RefSeq and is a predicted model, not a curated record.
GAAAAGUUACUCUACACUUUAAGUACAAGAAAAAAAACUGGCUCUACUGCGGGAAAGCAGCUCUUUUUCGUCACUAGUUACUGUACAAAAACAGCCUUCAGAUUCGUCAAACAGUAAAAUCCGACACAUGUGAGUCAGCAGUGCCACAGGACAACAUACGAUGGUUUCAUACAAUAGCAUGGAAACGUAUGGAAAGGGUACAAAAACCUAUGUAGAUAUUAUAAAGAGCCCCAUAUUUUGCACAUAACACUGAGCAAAAAUUAGUUGUCAUUUCCAUGAUUCCUCUUGCCUCUUUUGUGAGACUAAAUUCAACUAAACCCUUUUUUAGUGGCUGAUAAAUGUAUGUAUAGAAAAAG